RNAcentral lists this ribosomal RNA (408 nucleotides) under uncultured bacterium. RNAcentral's name for it is "bacterial SSU rRNA". It matches the Rfam family "Bacterial small subunit ribosomal RNA", at positions 28 to 440 of the family's 1533-position model. The record is from RNAcentral.
GACGAACGCUGGCGGCGUGCCUAACACAUGCAAGUCGCACGGGACCAGCAAUGGUUCAGUGGCGGACGGGUGCGUAACACGUGAGGAACAUGCCUAUCGGCGGGGGAUAGCCGGCCCAACGGCCGGGUAAUACCGCGUACGACCUUCGGUGGCGAUCACCUGGUGGUGGAAAGACAGCAAUGCGCCGAUAGAGUGCCUCGCGGCCGUAUCAGCUAGUUGGUGAGGUAAUGGCUCACCAAGGCUACGACGGGUAGCUGGUCUGAGAGGAUGACCAGCCACAUUGGGACUGAGACACGGCCCAGACUCCUACGGGAGGCAGCAGUGGGGAAUAUUGCGCAAUGGGCGAAAGCCUGACGCAGCGACGCCGCGUGUGGGAUGACGGUCUUCGGAUUGUAAACCACUGUCGGG